Molecule: long non-coding RNA, 1049 nt
Filed under: Glycine max (soybean)
Lineage: Eukaryota; Viridiplantae; Streptophyta; Magnoliopsida; Fabales; Fabaceae
Description: long non-coding RNA (GMAX_LNC000392)
Source: RNAcentral
AUCCAUGAUAAUUUUACUUCUUAAACUCUUUCGAUAUGCACACCCCGACAACAUCUACUAUUACAUCUAAUGCUAUGGCAGUAUGGCUGCAUGGUAAUGAAUCUGAACAACUAGACAUAAAAAAACUGGUGAAAAAAAGACUACUAGAAUGGAACCUUAAACAUCUAAUACGAAACCCGACAAGCCUAACCUAGUAUCCUUCCAACCUUAAUCACCGCCCCUCUCCAAGUUGUGCAUUCAACUCUCGCACUUGGUCUGACACUAUGCUCAGCUGCAUUUGCAACUGCAAUUUGUCAUCCUUCAUGGUUUGCAUCUCUUGUGUCAUUGUUAGCAUCUUCUAUUCAAGGCUUUUCAUACUAUAAUAUUUGUAAUCAUAAAUACACCUUCCAUUUCUCAAAAUAAGGUUUUGAAUCAAGGACACAACAACGUCUUCUUGAGCAUCAUAGUCAGUUAGUUUGAAUCUUCCCACAAGACAAAGAUGGUUUCCAAUUUUGCCAGUCAUUACAAUCCCUGAAUACCUUCAAAAUUCCUUUCCAUCAAAGAACAUAACCUCCAGUAAUGUGUAGGUAAGGGUAGGGAGAGAAAGAGCUAUACACAAUUGCCCUAGCCAUUUUUGCAUGCAAUGAUUCAACACAAAAGCGGGUGAUGUGGCCUUCUCAGCAAAGGUGAUGGUGUUGCUACUUGUGAUGGCCUCAUAUGAAGCUAAUGUGCAAGUCUUCAAAUAUUACACUUCCUCGCUAUGAAAAAUUCUGAAAAUGAACACCAUUUUAUACGUACCUUCACUUGGAGAAAAGGAGUUUAGAGGAUGCACUCUUGCAUGUUGUGUGGCUUUACAUUCGCUUGACUAGCCUUAAUUCCAUAUUUCCUGCAAAGGUCUAGCCAGUGAAAUUAAGCUUUCUCAUGACUUAAAGGAGUGGAGGUGGUUGUUCGGAUACUCAUCAAUUUGUGCCUUGCACUCAUACGCACCUUGAGUAAUAUAUGUCGGGCUUCCUUUCAACAAAGACAACAAAAUACUUUUGCUUCUUAGACGGAUUCAUAUCACGUAGAUG